GACGAACGCUAGCGGCGUGCUUAACACAUGCAAGUCGAACGAGACAAUUGAAAGCUUGCUUUCGAAAGUCGAGUGGCAAACGGGUGAGUAACGCGUAGACAACCUGCCUUUGAGAUGGGGACAACAGUUCGAAAGGACUGCUAAUACCGAAUGUUGUAUAUUUUCCACAUGGAAGAUAUAUUAAAGAUGGCCUCUAUUUAUAAGCUAUCGCUCAAAGAUGGGUCUGGGUCUGAUUAGCUAGUUGGUGGGGUAACGGCCUACCAAAGCGACGAUCAGUAGCCGGUCUGAGAGGAUGAACGGCCACAUUGGGACUGAGACACGGCCCAGACUCCUACGGGAGGCAGCAGUGGGGAAUCUUCCACAAUGGACGAAAGUCUGAUGGAGCAACGCCGCGUGAGUGAAGAAGGGUUUCGGCUCGUAAAGCUCUGUUGUCGGGGACGAAUGUGCAGUAUUUGAAUAAAGUACUGUAAUGACGGUACCUGACGAGGAAGCCACGGCUAACUACGUGCCAGCCGCCGCGGUAA
RNAcentral lists this ribosomal RNA (524 nucleotides) under uncultured bacterium. Its description in RNAcentral is "partial 16S ribosomal RNA". It matches the Rfam family "Bacterial small subunit ribosomal RNA", at positions 28 to 523 of the family's 1533-position model. The record is from RNAcentral.